CACUCCUACGGGAGGCAGCAGUGGGGAAUAUUGGACAAUGGGCGCAAGCCUGAUCCAGCCAUGCCGCGUGAGUGAUGAAGGCCCUAGGGUUGUAAAGCUCUUUCACCGGUGAAGAUAAUGACGGUAACCGGAGAAGAAGCCCCGGCUAACUUCGUGCCAGCAGCCGCGGUAAUACGAAGGGGGCUAGCGUUGUUCGGAUUUACUGGGCGUAAAGCGCACGUAGGCGGACUAUUAAGUCAGGGGUGAAAUCCCGGGGCUCAACCCCGGAACUGCCUUUGAUACUGGUAGUCUUGAGUUCGAGAGAGGUGAGUGGAAUUCCGAGUGCAGAGGUGAAAUUCGUAGAUAUUCGGAGGAACACCAGUGGCGAAGGCGGCUCACUGGCUCGAUACUGACGCUGAGGUGCGAAAGCGUGGGGAGCAAACAGGAUUAGAAACCCGUGUAGUCCCAUGA
This 450-nucleotide ribosomal RNA is filed under the name uncultured organism. RNAcentral's name for it is "partial 16S ribosomal RNA". It matches the Rfam family "Bacterial small subunit ribosomal RNA", at positions 334 to 800 of the family's 1533-position model. The record is from RNAcentral.